AAGGAUCAAGUUAUAGAAGAAUGGCAUAAAAAAGGUGGUUAAGUAAAAUAUUGAUAAAUAAACCAAGUUAUAAGGUAAAAUUUUGAUCAGGUGUUUUUAGUCUAAAGCUGAUCCCACGAAAAUCUCUAGCUAAACCAGGAUUAGAUACCCUGCUAUAGUUGAAAGUAAAUUUAAUGUGUUUGCCGGAGUAGUAUAAGAAUGCUUUAAACUCAAAAAGCUUGGCGGUGCUUUAGAUCAUUUUAGGGGAACUUGUCUCGUAAUCGAUAAUCCACGUUGGAUCAAACUUUAUCUUGUAGUCAGCUUGUAUACCGUUGUCGACAGUUAAUUUUUAAAAACUUAGCUAAAAAAUUUUGAUAAAUUUACACGUCAAAUCAAGGUGCAGUCUAUGUUAAAGUGAGGAUGAGUUACAAUUAACAUUUAUAAUACGAAUACCUUUUUGAAAAUCAGGUAGAAGGUGGACUUAAAAGUAAAUUUAAAUUAAAUAAAUUGCUUGAAUUUGCUCUGAAGCGUGC
Molecule: ribosomal RNA, 512 nt
Filed under: Surrepifungium costulatum
Lineage: Eukaryota; Metazoa; Mollusca; Gastropoda; Epitoniidae
Description: partial 12S ribosomal RNA
Source: RNAcentral